This 946-nucleotide ribosomal RNA is filed under the name uncultured bacterium. RNAcentral describes it as "bacterial SSU rRNA". It matches the Rfam family "Bacterial small subunit ribosomal RNA", at positions 1 to 917 of the family's 1533-position model. RNAcentral also lists the same sequence under 1 other name. The record is from RNAcentral.
UGGAUCCAGACUUUGAUUCUGGCUCAGGACGAACGCUGGCGGCGUGCUUAACACAUGCAAGUCGAACGAGAAGAGAUGAGAAGCUUGCUUCUUAUUGAUUCGAGUGGCAAACGGGUGAGUAACGCGUAAGCAACCUGCCCUCUAGAUGGGGACAACAGCUGGAAACGGCUGCUAAUACCGAAUACGUUCUUUCAGUCGCAUGGCAGAGGGAAGAAAGGGAGGCUCUUCGGAGCUUUCGCUGGAGGAGGGGCUUGCGUCUGAUUAGCUAGUUGGAGGGGUAACGGCCCACCAAGGCGACGAUCAGUAGCCGGUCUGAGAGGAUGAACGGCCACAUUGGGACUGAGACACGGCCCGGACUCCUACGGGAGGCAGCAGUGGGGAAUCUUCCGCAAUGGACGAAAGUCUGACGGAGCAACGCCGCGUGAACGAUGACGGCCUUCGGGUUGUAAAGUUCUGUUAUACGGGACGAAUGGUACGACGGUCAAUACCCGUCGUAAGUGACGGUACCGUAAGAGAAAGCCACGGCUAACUACGUGCCAGCAGCCGCGGUAAUACGUAGGUGGCAAGCGUUGUCCGGAAUUAUUGGGCGUAAAGGGCGCGCAGGCGGCGUCGUAAGUCGGUCUUAAAAGUGCGGGGCUUAACCCCGUGAGGGGACCGAAACUGCGAUGCUAGAGUAUCGGAGAGGAAAGCGGAAUUCCUAGUGUAGCGGUGAAAUGCGUAGAUAUUAGGAGGAACACCAGUGGCGAAAGCGGCUUUCUGGACGACAACUGACGCUGAGGCGCGAAAGCCAGGGGAGCAAACGGGAUUAGAUACCCCGGUAGUCCUGGCCGUAAACGAUGGAUACUAGGUGUAGGAGGUAUCGACCCCUUCUGUGCCGGAGUUAACGCAAUAAGUAUCCCGCCUGGGGAGUACGGCCGCAAGGCUGCAACUCAAAUGAAUUGACGGA